GUGACGUUCCCUACGCGGUCGGGCGUUGGGUUUCGCGGCGCUCGCCGCACUGGUUGUUCAGCACCUUCGGUCCGGUUGAGGUUGUCAAGUCGGACCAAACAGGUUGUUUCUCUGCAGUUUCCAACAUGGCAGGGAGGUUUAAUAGACAUGGAUAAGAAGUCCACUCACAGAAAUCCUGAAGAUGCCAGGGCUGGCAAAUAUGAAGGUAAACACAAACGAAAGAAAAGAAGAAAGCAAAACCAAAACCAGCACCGAUCCCGACAUAGAUCAGUGACGUCUUUUUCUUCAGAUGAUCCUAUGUUUCCUUCUUCCUCAUCAUCGUCUUCAGGAAGCCAGACAGAUUCAAGUAUUGAAGAUGCUGCCAAGGGAAAAAUUAAGAAGAAGAGAAGAGAGAAAACAAAUAAAUGGGAAAAAAGAAAGGACAAAAUAUGAAACACCAAGAAAAAGAGAAGGAAAAAAAGGAGGAAACAACCACAUAUGUCACCUUUCCAAGGAAUAUAAUUCAAUAUCAGAAUGAUUUGGAAGGAAAAAACCUACAGGAAGCUAUUGUAGCCUAGUGAGGAAGAUAAAUAUUAAUACAGCCAAUUUAUAGAUCAGACUAAAGACAAUGAUUGGGGCAUUGAAAAGAACAGAUAGAAGAAAUAUUGCAAAGAGGGACUGAAACUGGGCUGACCCUUUUGAUUUCCAAGCUCAGCGUUUUGGUGUAAGGCGGCCAAAGAAGGAUGCGGAGCCCAGCACUGUGAAGCCUACAAAAACAUUGAUGCGCUGGCUUGGGGAUUUGAAUUUGAACAUCUUUCACACUAAGUUCAGACUCAUGAAACCAAUCUUCAGAUGCUCUGUAAACCACAUAAUAAAGAGUUUGGAAAUUA
Molecule: long non-coding RNA, 869 nt
Filed under: Homo sapiens (human)
Lineage: Eukaryota; Metazoa; Chordata; Mammalia; Primates; Hominidae
Description: HSALNT0298026
Source: RNAcentral